GACGAACGCUGGCGGCGCGCCUAACACAUGCAAGUCGAACGAGCGAGCGAGAGCUUGCUUUCUCGAGCGAGUGGCGAACGGGUGAGUAACGCGUGAGGAACCUGCCUCAAAGAGGGGGACAACAGUUGGAAACGACUGCUAAUACCGCAUAAGCCCACGAUGCCGCAUGGCACCGAGGGAAAAGGAGCAAUCCGCUUUGAGAUGGCCUCGCGUCCGAUUAGCUAGUUGGUGAGGUAAUGGCACACCAAGGCCACGAUCGGUAGCCGGACUGAGAGGUUGAACGGCCACAUUGGGACUGAGACACGGCCCAGACUCCUACGGGAGGCAGCAGUGGGGAAUAUUGCACAAUGGGGGAAACCCUGAUGCAGCGACGCCGCGUGGAGGAAGAAGGUCUUCGGAUUGUAAAAUCCUGUUGUUGGGGAAGAUAAUGACGGUACCCAACAAGGAAGUGACGGCUAACUACGUG
Molecule: ribosomal RNA, 466 nt
Filed under: uncultured bacterium
Lineage: Bacteria
Description: partial 16S ribosomal RNA
Rfam family: Bacterial small subunit ribosomal RNA
Source: RNAcentral